AGUGAACGCUGGCGGUAGGCCUAACACAUGCAAGUCGAACGGCAGCACAGUAAGAGCUUGCUCUUACGGGUGGCGAGUGGCGGACGGGUGAGGAAUACAUCGGAAUCUACUUUUUCGUGGGGGAUAACGUAGGGAAACUUACGCUAAUACCGCAUACGACCUACGGGUGAAAGCAGGGGAACUUCGGACCUUGCGCGAUUGAAUGAGCCGAUGUCGGAUUAGCUAGUUGGCGGGGUAAAGGCCCACCAAGGCGACGAUCCGUAGCUGGUCUGAGAGGAUGGUCGGCCACAUGGGAACUGAGAAACGUGCCAGACUCCUAGGGGGGGCAGCAGUGGGGAAUAUUGGAAAAGGGGCGAAAGCCUUAUCCAGCCAUACCGGGGGGGUGAAGAAGGCCUUCGGGUUGUAAAGCCCUUUUGUGGGGAAAAAAAAGCAGCAGGUUAAGACCCCGCUGUUCUGACGGUACCCAAAGAAAAAGCACCGGCUAAUUUCGU
This 491-nucleotide ribosomal RNA is filed under the name uncultured bacterium. RNAcentral's name for it is "partial 16S ribosomal RNA". It matches the Rfam family "Bacterial small subunit ribosomal RNA", at positions 29 to 506 of the family's 1533-position model. The record is from RNAcentral.